ACGCUGGCGGCGUGCUUAACACAUGCAAGUCGAGCGGAAAGGCCCUUCGGGGUACUCGAGCGGCGAACGGGUGAGUAACACGUGAGUAAUCUGCCCUGAGGUCUGACAUAACCCGUCGAAAGGCGGGCUAACAUCAGAUGAUAUAUAAUCACGACAUCGUGGAAAUAUCAAAUCUUCGGAGCCUUGGGAUGAGCCUGCGUCUGAUUAGGUAGUUGGCGGAGUAAUAGCCCACCAAGCCUACGAUCAGUAGCUGGUCUGAGAGGAUGAUCAGCCACACUGGAACUGAGACACGGUCCAGACUCCUACGGGAGGCAGCAGUAAGGAAUAUUGCUCAAUGGGGGGAAACCCUGAAGCAGCAACGCCGCGUGAAGGAUGAAAUACUUUGUAUGUAAACUUCUGUAAGAUGGGAAAAAUAUUCUCCUCGGGAGAAUUGAUUGUACCAUCAGAGUAAGCCCCGGCUAACUACGUG
This 469-nucleotide ribosomal RNA is filed under the name uncultured bacterium. RNAcentral describes it as "bacterial SSU rRNA". It matches the Rfam family "Bacterial small subunit ribosomal RNA", at positions 33 to 507 of the family's 1533-position model. The record is from RNAcentral.